Molecule: ribosomal RNA, 648 nt
Filed under: uncultured Actinomycetales bacterium
Lineage: Bacteria; Bacillati; Actinomycetota; Actinomycetes; Actinomycetales
Description: bacterial SSU rRNA
Rfam family: Bacterial small subunit ribosomal RNA
Source: RNAcentral
GACGAACGCUGGCGGCGUGCUUAACACAUGCAAGUCGAGCGGUAAGGCCCUUCGGGGUACACGAGCGGCGAACGGGUGAGUAACACGUGGGUGACCUGCCCUCAGCUCUGGGAUAAGCCUGGGAAACUGGGUCUAAUACCGGAUAUGACCAUAUGCUGCAUGGUGUGUGGUGGAAAGUUUUUCGGCUGGGGAUGGGCCCGCGGCCUAUCAGCUUGUUGGUGGGGUGAUGGCCUACCAAGGCGACGACGGGUAGCCGGCCUGAGAGGGCGACCGGCCACACUGGGACUGAGACACGGCCCAGACUCCUACGGGAGGCAGCAGUGGGGAAUAUUGCGCAAUGGGCGGAAGCCUGACGCAGCGACGCCGCGUGGGGGAUGACGGCCUUCGGGUUGUAAAGCCCUUUCGGUGGGGAAGAAAAGCCUCGAGCUAAUACCUCGGGGUCUUGACGUAACCCAUAGAAGAAGCACCGGCUAACUCUGUGCCAGCAGCCGCGGUAAUACAGAGGGUGCGAGCGUUAAUCGGAAUUACUGGGCGUAAAGCGCGCGUAGGCGGCUUUGCAAGUCGGGUGUGAAAUCCCCAGGCUUAACCUGGGAACUGCAUUCGAGACUGCAUUGCUAGAGUAUGGGAGAGGGAAGUGGAAUUUCCGGU